UACGUAGGAGACGAGCGUUGUCCGGAGUUACUGGGCGUAAAGGGUGCGCAGGCGGCCCUGCGCGUCGCGAGUGAAAUCUCCCGGCUCAACUGGGAGGGUGCGCCGAAUACUGAAUGACUAGAGUGCGGGAGAGGAAAGUGGAAUUCCUGGUGUAGCGGUGAAAUGCGUAGAUAUCAGGAGGAACACCGGUGGUGUAGACAGCUUUCUGGACCGUAACUGACGCUGAGACACGAAAGCGUGGGUAGCAAACAGG
RNAcentral lists this ribosomal RNA (253 nucleotides) under uncultured bacterium. RNAcentral's name for it is "partial 16S ribosomal RNA". It matches the Rfam family "Bacterial small subunit ribosomal RNA", at positions 524 to 776 of the family's 1533-position model. The record is from RNAcentral.